UGGAUACACCAGGACCCCACAACAGACCACCACGAGGAGCAUAAUCAGAUGUAUUAAAUAUGAUAAAUAAUGAAACGACACUUAUAUUCACAGAGUAGCAACGCUCUGAGAUUAAUGGACACUCGUAAAAGCUAAUAAUAAAUGACCGUGCGCGAGCCAGGGAUCGCGCAGCCCACAUCGGGGCAUGACAUGAUAGGAGACAGCUUUGCUGCUGGAGAACAAAUGACGUCACUGUCAUCCUGUAUGAGUGGUGCAUUUAAGGCUUUUUGUUACCAGAUUACCAUGUAACUUCUUCAGCAAUGUCAGCAAACUCUGAUCAAUUUUCCUAUUCUCCUGAUAAUCAUUGUCUCAUCAAACAUGGCAUUGCAGUGGAUAGUGAUUUUUUGAAAGACCCUUUGGAUGACGCAUCAACUAGUGUCACACAUGUGCUUCCUCUCAGGUGUGCCCAAUAUGUGAGACAUGAAAAGAACCAAGAAUUGGACCAGGGAAAUGGCAACUGGACAUCAGUGAUUAAAGAUGCUUUAGAGAUGAGUAAUGGAAUGGAAAUGGAACAGACUUUCUCCAUGGAUGAAUGUGGCCCCCUAAUGGACUAUAAUCCUAUAUAUAAAGGACCUGAAACUGAGGCAUAUUUUAAAUUACAGGACCACGUCAAUCUUCAGAUUGCAGGAUCUAAACUAAAUAAGCAGCAGGAUGGGCUAGGAGUAAAAAAAGAACCAGAUUCCUUUAUUUCAGUGUUGUCAGAAGAUAUCAGUAAAAAUAAAGAUGUU
This is a long non-coding RNA of Carassius gibelio (silver crucian carp), 767 nucleotides long. RefSeq lists it as uncharacterized. The transcript has 3 exons. The record is from RefSeq and is a predicted model, not a curated record. NCBI's taxonomy places the organism in Eukaryota, Metazoa, Chordata, Actinopteri, Cypriniformes, Cyprinidae.